GGUGUGACGUGUGUAGAGUGCAGCUCCCGACCCUCCCUCCCUGUGAGAGAGAGUGUGUGUGUGUGUGUGUGUGUGUGUGGAGCCUCACGCCAGCGUCGCCUCCGCCUCCACGACGCCCACACGCGACCGCAAUACCUGGCCCUCCUGCACCACACGCGCCUCUACCACGGCAUAUACUGGAACACUACUGCAGGCGGCCCGUUCUCCAAGACACUGUGGAUAUACAUCAUGGUGUUUACUCUAUGGCCAUGACGAUACAUCUACCUUAAACCAAUUUCUUUCGAUGAAGGACCUUGUGCACUGAUUUAUUACAAAAAAGCUACAACACUCGCGUUUUGAACUGCCAGAGAAGAUAUAAUGAACAAUAAUAAUCAUGACUAACAGACACUCGUUCCUCUGGUAUAUAUCUAACAGUUACACUGGCAUAAUAUAAUAUAGGAGCUCUCUAAGGGAAGCGCUGAUCCUUGUUCAAAAUAUAAUGAAGUUACAGAGAAGAAAAUGGAGUUUGGGUGACCUGGUGUCUCCCGUGGGACUAUGACUCUCGCCCCCUAAUAUAUCAACACAUCCUUAGGUGGAUGACUUCAAACUCCCAGAGACGGACAAAAGCAACUUUCUGAUUUAGUUUGUGUGUGAGAAUGACAUGUGAAGUGCCAACAUGAAGUUCUUGUUCAGGAAGAAGUGCAAGCCUGGCAAGGGAGCCACGGAGAAGCCACCCUGGAUCGCCAUACAGAAGCCAGAAGAGGGUAGUCUGAGGAAGGUCGAGCCAGAGGAGGGUAGUCUGAGGAAGGUCGAGCAGAGGAAGAUAGUCUGAGGAAGGUCGAGCCAGAGGAAGGUGGUCUGAGGAAGGUCGAGCAGAGGAAGGUGGUCUGGGUGAAGGAGGCAGGUAAGAUAGUGACCACCUUGAGCCUUACCAUAUAGAGCCGGGCUCCAGAGUCUACCACUACUCAUGCCCCCGAGCGGGUCUUACUUCAUAAGAGAGAGAGGAAGAUCUCUUUAAAACACACUUUGUAAAACAGGUUAUACAUGAUUUGUAAAGCCAAUGUAUAAUAUGAUUUGUAAAACCAAUGAUUUUAUUGGAAUUAUAUGAUUUGUAAAAACCAA
This is a non-coding RNA of Procambarus clarkii (red swamp crayfish), 1101 nucleotides long. The record is from RefSeq and is a predicted model, not a curated record. NCBI's taxonomy places the organism in Eukaryota, Metazoa, Arthropoda, Malacostraca, Decapoda, Cambaridae.